Molecule: ribosomal RNA, 966 nt
Filed under: Acanthodasys australis
Lineage: Eukaryota; Metazoa; Gastrotricha; Macrodasyida; Thaumastodermatidae
Description: partial small subunit ribosomal RNA
Source: RNAcentral
CRUCCCCUCUKAUAKSGACUUAUAMUUUCCCCCUCUSUGUUUGAUCUUAUAUGUUGKUUCUCSGASCUGVGGAAAAUGAAUAAAGAGGGGAACAAGACGGGGGCAUUCGUAUUGCGCCGWUAGAGGUGNAARUUCUUGGAUCGGCGCASGGANGAACAACUGCGANAAGCRUUUGCCAAGAAUGUCUUCAUUAAUCAAGAACGAAAGUCGGAUGUUCGAAGGCGAUCAGAUACCGCCCUAGUUCMGACCAUAAACGAUGCCAACCAGCGAUCCGUCSCGGUUACCUCAAUGACUCGACGSSRASCWKCSGGGAAACCAAAGUUUUUGGRUUCCGGGGGAAGUAUGGUUGCAAAGCUGAAACUUAAAGGAWUUGACGGAAAGGCACCACCAGGAGUGGAGCCUGCRGCUUAAUUUGACUCAACACGGGAAAACUCACCCGGCCCGGACACUGUWWGGAUUGACAGAUUGAGAGCUCUUUCUUGAUUCGGUGGGUGGUGGUGCAUGGCCGUUCWNACGWGGSKCNGGCCUGNUCANUCUUAAUUGAGGUAACGAACGAGACUCUGGCCUGCUAAAUAGCACAGUUGUACCUUYGAGUGCAUCUGCUGCUUCUUAGAGGGACUGGUGAAUAUUCAGUCACAGGAAGAAGAGCGAUAACAGGUCUGUUAUGCCYUUAGAUGUYYGGGGCCGCACGCGCGCUACACUGAAGGAAUCAGCGUGUUUUAACCUUGCCCGGAAGGGCCKKGMAAWCCGUUGAAACUCCUUCGUGAUUGGGAUUGGGGCUUGCAAUUGUUGCCCAUGAACGAGGAAUUCCUAGUAUGCGUGAAUCAUAAGUUCACGAAGAUUACGUCCCUGCCUUUUGUACACACCGCCCGUCGCUACUACCGACUGGACGUAUUAUCAAGGGAUUUGGAUUGGCACCUGUCGUGGGGAAACCCAUGGGCAGGUCGCCGAAAAUUAUCCCAAAGG